GAUGAAGAACGUAGCGAAAUGCGAUAAGUAAUGUGAAUUGCAGAAUUCAGUGAAUCAUCGAAUCUUUGAACGCACAUUGCGCCCGCCAGUAUUCUGGCGGGCAUGCCUGUUCGAGCGUCAUUUCAACCAUCAAGCCCCAGGCUUGUGUUGGGGACCUGCGGCUGCCGCAGGCCCUGAAAACCAGUGGCGGGCUCGCUGUCACACCGGGCGUAGUAGAUUUUAUCUCGCUCAGGGCGUGCUACGGGUUCCGGCCGUUAAAAAGCCUUUUUUACCCAAGGUUGACCUCGGAUCAGGUAGGAAGACCCGCUGAACUUAAGCAUAUCAAUAAGCGGAGGA
Molecule: unclassified non-coding RNA, 336 nt
Filed under: soil metagenome
Description: partial contains 5.8S ribosomal RNA, internal transcribed spacer 2, and large subunit ribosomal RNA
Rfam family: 5.8S ribosomal RNA (bases 1-120)
Source: RNAcentral